CGCGACCCCCAGGUCAG
Molecule: ribosomal RNA, 17 nt
Filed under: Actinidia melanandra
Lineage: Eukaryota; Viridiplantae; Streptophyta; Magnoliopsida; Ericales; Actinidiaceae
Description: partial 26S ribosomal RNA
Source: RNAcentral